RNAcentral lists this ribosomal RNA (429 nucleotides) under Bacillota bacterium. RNAcentral describes it as "Firmicutes bacterium partial 16S ribosomal RNA". It matches the Rfam family "Bacterial small subunit ribosomal RNA", at positions 355 to 776 of the family's 1533-position model. The record is from RNAcentral. Lineage: Bacteria; Bacillati; Bacillota.
UAGGGAAUCUUCGGCAAUGGACGGAAGUCUGACCGAGCAACGCCGCGUGAGUGAAGAAGGUUUUCGGAUCGUAAAGCUCUGUUGGUAGAGAAGAACGUUGGUAGGAGAGGAAAAUCUACCAAGUGACGGUAACUAACCAGAAAGGGACGGCUAACUAAGUGCCAGCAGCCGCGGUAAUACGUAGGUCCCGAGCGUUGUCCGGAUUUAUUGGGCGUAAAGCGAGCGCAGGCGGUUCUUUACGUCUGAAGUUAAAGGCAGUGGCUUAACCAUUGUACGCUUUGGAAACUGGAGGACUUGAGUGCAGAAGGGGAGAGUGGAAUUCCUUGUGUAGCGGUGAAAUGCGUAGAUAUAUGGAGGAACACCGGUGGCGAAAGCGGCUCUCUGGUCUGUAACUGACGCUGAGGCUCGAAAGCGUGGGGAGCAAACAGG